RNAcentral lists this unclassified non-coding RNA (335 nucleotides) under soil metagenome. RNAcentral's name for it is "partial contains 5.8S ribosomal RNA, internal transcribed spacer 2, and large subunit ribosomal RNA". The stretch from base 4 to 119 matches the Rfam family "5.8S ribosomal RNA", at positions 39 to 154 of the family's 154-position model. The record is from RNAcentral.
GAUAAGAACGUAGCGAAAUGCGAUAAGUAAUGUGAAUUGCAGAAUUCAGUGAAUCAUCGAAUCUUUGAACGCACAUUGCGCCCGCCAGUAUUCUGGCGGGCAUGCCUGUUCGAGCGUCAUUUCAACCAUCAAGCCCCCGGGCUUGUGUUGGGGACCUGCGGCUGCCGCAGGCCCUGAAAAGCAGUGGCGGGCUCGCUGUCACACCGAGCGUAGUAGCAUACAUCUCGCUCUGGGCGUGCUGCGGGUUCCGGCCGUUAAACCACCUUUUAACCCAAGGUUGACCUCGGAUCAGGUAGGAAGACCCGCUGAACUUAAGCAUAUCAAUAAGCGGAGGA